CUUAACUUACCCUAGCCCUACAGCUAACCCUACUGCAACUCUAAGUAUAUUUCUACCCUACAUUACCCCUAAUUCGAACCAUACCCCUAUCCUAACCUUAAAACUCCCCCACUGUGUGGUAUUCUGUCGGCAUCUACUGGCUGGUUUACAGCCGAUUGUAUAGAGAUCUGUACUGGGAAGCUGGCACCGGUGCAUAUUGUCCGGGGACAGGCUGGAAGAACCUGGAGGGUCUCCCUAAAGCUGUCUGCACCUCACAAAAACCGCAGCUGAGAGCAAUCGCCUAUCCGUGUUUUUUAUGAAUGAGUUGAAGGGCUCUGUG
This is a non-coding RNA of Pelobates cultripes (western spadefoot toad), 319 nucleotides long. The record is from the annotation of a GenBank genome assembly. Lineage: Eukaryota; Metazoa; Chordata; Amphibia; Anura; Pelobatidae.